GGGAGGCUUUGAAGUGUGGACGCCAGUCUGCAUGGAGCCGACCUUGAAAUACCACCCUUUAAUGUUUGAUGUUCUAACGUGGACCCGUGAUCCGGGUUGCGGACAGUGUCUGGUGGGUAGUUUGACUGGGGCGGUCUCCUCCUAAAGAGUAACGGAGGAGCACGAAGGUUGGCUAAUCCUGGUCGGACAUCAGGAGGUUAGUGCAAUGGCAUAAGCCAGCUUGACUGCGAGCGUGACGGCGCGAGCAGGUGCGAAAGCAGGUCAUAGUGAUCCGGUGGUUCUGAAUGGAAGGGCCAUCGCUCAACGGAUAAAAGGUACUCCGGGGAUAACAGGCUGAUACCGCCCAAGAGUUCAUAUCGACGGCGGUGUUUGGCACCUCGAUGUCGGCUCAUCACAUCCUGGGGCUGAAGUAGGUCCCAAGGGUAUGGCUGUUCGCCAUUUAAAGUGGUACGCGAGCUGGGUUUAGAACGUCGUGAGACAGUUCGGUCCCUAUCUGCCGUGGGCGCUGGAGAACUGAGGGGGGCUGCUCCUAGUACGAGAGGACCGGAGUGGACGCAUCACUGGUGUUCGGGUUGUCAUGCCAAUGGCACUGCCCGGUAGCUAAAUGCGGAAGAGAUAAGUGCUGAAAGCAUCUAAGCACGAAACUUGC
RNAcentral lists this ribosomal RNA (649 nucleotides) under Escherichia coli. RNAcentral describes it as "partial 23S ribosomal RNA". It matches the Rfam family "Bacterial large subunit ribosomal RNA", at positions 2149 to 2797 of the family's 2925-position model. The record is from RNAcentral. Lineage: Bacteria; Pseudomonadati; Pseudomonadota; Gammaproteobacteria; Enterobacterales; Enterobacteriaceae.